This 507-nucleotide ribosomal RNA is filed under the name Mischocyttarus weyrauchi. RNAcentral describes it as "partial 16S ribosomal RNA". The stretch from base 381 to 507 matches the Rfam family "Bacterial large subunit ribosomal RNA", at positions 2473 to 2600 of the family's 2925-position model. Lineage: Eukaryota; Metazoa; Arthropoda; Insecta; Hymenoptera; Vespidae. The record is from RNAcentral.
GGUUUAUUGAAUUUCUAAUGAUAAAUUUAUUCUGCCCAUUGAAUAAUAUUUUUAAAAGGCUGCAGUAAUUUAACUGUACAAAGGUAGCAAAAUCAAUAGUUUUUUAAUUGAAAACUUGAAUGAAAGAAUGGAUAAAAUAUAUAUUGUCUUAAAUUUAAUUAAUUGAAAUUAUAUAAAAAGUUAAAAUUCUUUUAUAUUUUUAUUAGACGAUAAGACCCUAAGAAUUUUAUAAUUUUUAAUAUUAAGAUUUAUUUAUUAAUUUAUUUUAUUUUAAUUAUUUGAUUGGGAGGGUUAUUAAAAAUUAAACUUUAAUUUAAUUUAUACUUUGAUUAAUGUAUUAAAUGAUUAUUUUUAUAGUUGUAAGAAUUAAUUACCUUAGGGAUAACAGCAUAAUAAUUUUGGAAAGUUCAUAUUAAUAAAAUUGUUUGUGACCUCGAUGUUGAAUUAAAAUAAAAAUUAAACGGAGAAGUUUAAAAUUUUAGUCUGUUCGACUAUUAAAAUUUUACA